Molecule: ribosomal RNA, 452 nt
Filed under: uncultured Thiobacillus sp.
Lineage: Bacteria; Pseudomonadati; Pseudomonadota; Betaproteobacteria; Nitrosomonadales; Thiobacillaceae
Description: bacterial SSU rRNA
Rfam family: Bacterial small subunit ribosomal RNA
Source: RNAcentral
CAAGCGGUGGAUGAUGUGGAUUAAUUCGAUGCAACGCGAAGAACCUUUACCUACCCUUGACAUGUCCGGAACUUGCCAGAGAUGGCUUGGUGCCCGAAAGGGAAUCGGAACACAGGUGCUGCAUGGCUGUCGUCAGCUCGUGUCGUGAGAUGUUGGGUUAAGUCCCGCAACGAGCGCAACCCUUAUCAUUAGUUGCUACGCAAGGGCACUCUAAUGAGACUGCCGGUGACAAACCGGAGGAAGUGGGGAUGACGUCAAGUCCUCAUGGCCCUUAUGGGUAGGGCUUCACACGUCAUACAAUGGUCGGUACAGAGGGUUGCCAAGCCGCGAGGCGGAGCCAAUCCCACAAAGCCGAUCGUAGUCCGGAUUGUUCUCUGCAACUCGAGAGCAUGAAGUCGGAAUCGCUAGUAAUCGCAGGUCAGCAUACUGCGAUGAAUACGUUCCCGGGUCUU